CUCAUCAUAUUCUAUGGCAGUUAUGCUCCUUGCCCCUGCCCCACCAACCGACAGGUUACCAUAAGAACAGGCAUAAACACUUCUGCAUCAUCCCCAUUCCAUUGCCCACUCCUUACCAGAUGCUUGUUCAGUUAGGAAUGGUGGAAGUGUUCUCUCCGGUAACUGGGGAAAAACACUUCCUCAAUCAGCUUAUUUGCCAUGGCAGACCAGAUGUUCAAGAUGCAGCCAAAAAGAAGGCCCAACCAUUCCACAGCAAGCCUCUCACCAGGGGAGGCCACUGUGACACCAGGAGAAAGCCCUCACAGCAUCCGAAGAAGCAUUCCAUCAAAGGCCUCAGACUGGUUGAUGGACCAGUCUCUCCACCCAGCAGCAACAGACCCGCAUGGAGUCAGCAGGAAUCAUGGCCAAUGCCAUUGUCCACCUCUGCAGUUCCCUCUUCCCUCCAUAGAGAGGGAACUGGCCAUCAGCCUCAAGCUGCUGUACCAAUGGUCUUCUUCUAUUUGCCAUGCGACAAGUGUAUGGGUACCCCCCCCCCUUCACAGCCUCUGCCCAACUUACAACUGGUAUGCCUCUCUGGUCAAAGGCAGAGCCACCAACACCACAAAGAUGCCUCUGCCCCAAGACCAUCCCAAGGGAAACUAUCAAGAGCACCCUCUGAGCCUAAACCAUCUACCAAGGUCACGAGAAGAGAACCUACACCAAAUGAGGGAGAAACAUGCAUGAAGUUUCUUGAGGGAAAGAGUCUGGAGGCUGAAAAACAUCUUCCCAGAAGCAAGGUGUCAAAAGGAGUGGUCUAUAAAGAAGUGCCACCUGUAGCAGGGGUCAAAGAAAGUCUCUGCAGGGCCCAGUGGUUCAAAACCAAAAUCCCUGAAGACAAUUCCUGAAGAACCAAAUCCUGUGAAAAAGUGGCCACAAGCUCAAAUCCACAGGAAGCAAAAGGUGAGUGCCCCCUUACCUAGUGCCAGAGGGAAACAGAAAGAGAUCAAAGAUGGCAACUAAGGAGCCCCACAAGCCAAUCCCUAUGAGCCAUUUGGCAUGGCACAUGAUAGAAUCUACAGAUGUCUUCUAUCCACUGGGAAAGUUCAAGCUCCCACCAGCACCACUGAAGAAGCAGCUCCUUCCACUCCAGCAAAGCCACUCCCAGUGGAGUGACCCUUGGGUUUUCUACUGAGAAUCACAAAGAUCUUAGCCUCCACAUCAGGCCCUCAGCCAUCAUUCCAAUCAUUGCCCAAUCCUGUUCCAUCCUCAAAACCUGUUCCAGUCAAAAGACCAGCAGUCAACUCCCUCCCCCAUCUUAUCCCACAUCUAUCAAGGAAAGAACCUUUCCUCCCUACUCUACAAGACCAAUGAGUGGAGACCACAGGAGAACACCUCCAGAAACAGAAGUGGUCUCCUUUCUUGGUCACCCGCACUUGACCCAAACCUGUCAAGGCCCACAAACAACACAGAGUCAUCCACAGCAGUUGUGUGCCAUCAUGUGGAGUCCCCUGCUUUUCCCCAUACAAAGGGGACACCUUCAUCUCAUGAAGAACGCCACCUGAUGACCCAGAAGUCUCUGAGCCAAUUACAGAAGAGCAUUGUCGUUCAUGGCAAGUGAAAAGAAAAAUAGACUUUUGGUUUCUCUACAGGCCGACUUGCACCUUGUAAAUAUCUACAAAAAUACAUAGGUGUGCUCUCUUGUUCUCUCUCUCUCUCUCUCUCACACACACACACACACACACAUGCACACACGAGCACACAAAGACACACGAAGGAUUCUUGUGCUGCAACAAUUAACAAGGGAAUGGUGUAGAAUCUGAAGGCUCUCCUUUAAAAUGAUUCUGCAAUUAUGACAGGAGAGCUGAGCCAUCUCUGUUUCAGACCCUCUCCCCGAUUUAAGCUCUCUCUCUGGUGUUCUCUACAGCCUCCAGCAUCUCAUCAGUUAAGCAACCCAUCUAAGAAGGUACUGGAAGAAUUUCAAUUUCCAUUUUCUUCUCUCAUGCCUGAUCCAAGCACUGGUGUAUCAGAGCCAAAGAUAAUAAAUUAAGGGACUGCUUUGGAUAAGUAUUGUUU
RNAcentral lists this long non-coding RNA (2052 nucleotides) under Pogona vitticeps (central bearded dragon). RNAcentral describes it as "lncRNA (ENSPVIG00000003585.1)". Lineage: Eukaryota; Metazoa; Chordata; Lepidosauria; Squamata; Agamidae. The record is from RNAcentral.